This 456-nucleotide ribosomal RNA is filed under the name Sahyadriophis beddomei. Its description in RNAcentral is "Hebius beddomei partial large subunit ribosomal RNA". It matches the Rfam family "Bacterial large subunit ribosomal RNA", at positions 1838 to 2568 of the family's 2925-position model. Lineage: Eukaryota; Metazoa; Chordata; Lepidosauria; Squamata; Natricidae. The record is from RNAcentral.
AACAAGUAUUAAAGGCAACGCCUGCCCAGUGAAUAAUUAAACGGCCGCGGUACCCUAACCGUGCAAAGGUAGCAUAAUCAUUUGUCUAUUAAUUGUAGACCUGUAUGAAAGGCAAAAUGAGGGUUUAACUGUCUCUUAUAAUAAAUCUAUUAAACUGAUCCCUCAGUAAAAAAGCUGAGAUAUUCCCAUAAGACCAGAAGACCCUGUGAAGCUUAAACUAAACCAUUAAACCAAAUAAUGACUACUUUAGGUUGGGGCGACCUUGGAAACAAAAAAAACUUCCAAACAACACCACUAAUACCCAGGCCUACAAGCCAAUCAACGACCCAGUAAACUGAUAAUUGAAAAAAGUUACUCCAGGGAUAACAGCGCUAUCUUCUUCAAGAGCCCAUAUCAAAAAGAAGGUUUACGACCUCGAUGUUGGAUCAGGACACCCAAAUGGUCAGCCGCUAUUAA